RNAcentral lists this ribosomal RNA (839 nucleotides) under uncultured bacterium 404-57. RNAcentral's name for it is "bacterial SSU rRNA". It matches the Rfam family "Bacterial small subunit ribosomal RNA", at positions 530 to 1371 of the family's 1533-position model. The record is from RNAcentral.
GGCUUCAAGCGUUGUCCGGAAUUAUUGGGUGUAAAGAGCUCGUAGGUCGUUUACCACGUCGGAUGUGAAAACCUGAGGCUCAACCUCAUUCCUGCAUUCGAUACGAGCAAACUAGAGUUUGGUAGGGGAGACUGGAAUUCCUGGUGUAGCGGUGGAAUGCGCAGAUAUACGGAGGAACACCAACGGCGAAGGCAGGUCUCUGGGCCAAUACUGACACUGAGGAGCGAAAGUCUGGGGAGCGAACAGGAUUAGAUACCCUGGUAGUCCAGACCGUAAACGGUGGGCACUAGUUGUGGGAACCUUCCACGGUUUCUGCGACGCAGCUAACGCAUUAAGUGCCCCGCCUGGGGAGUACGAUCGCAAGAUUAAAACUCAAAGGAAUUGACGGGGCCCCGCACAAGCAGCGGAGCAUGCGGCUCAAUUCGACGCAACGCGAAGAACCUUACCAAGGCUUGACAUAUAGGGAAAAGUGGCAGAGAUGCCAUGUCCGCAAGGGCCCUAUACAGGUGGUGCAUGGUUGUCGUCAGCUCGUGUCGUGAGAUGUUGGGUUAAGUCCCGCAACGAGCGCAACCCUCGUUCUGUGUUGCCAGCAUUUAGUUGGGGACUCACAGGAGACUGCCGGGGUUAACUCGGAGGAAGGUGAGGAUGACGUCAAAUCAUCAUGCCCCUUAUGUCUUGGGCUGCACGCAUGCUACAAUGGCCGGUACAGAGGGCUGCAAUACCGUAAGGUGGAGCGAAUCCCAAAAAGCCGGCCUCAGUUCGGAUUGAGGUCUGCAACUCGACUUCAUGAAGUUGGAGUUGCUAGUAAUCGUAGAUCAGCAACGCUACGGUGAAURCGU